Molecule: ribosomal RNA, 504 nt
Filed under: uncultured bacterium
Lineage: Bacteria
Description: bacterial SSU rRNA
Rfam family: Bacterial small subunit ribosomal RNA
Source: RNAcentral
GGCUCAGAACGAACGCUGGCGGCGCGUUUAAGCAUGCAAGUCGAGCGGCAAGGGCCGUCGGCCCUAGAGCGGCGGACGGGUGAGUAACACGUGGACAAUCUGCCCCCCGGCCCGGGAUAGCCCAGGGAAACCUGGAUUAAUACCGGAUGAGACGGGACCCGCGAUGGCGGGAUCCGGGAAAGGCGCUGCGGCGCCGCCGGGGGAUGAGUCUGCGUCCCAUUAGCUAGACGGCGGGGUAACGGCCCACCGUGGCGACGAUGGGUAGCCGGCCUGAGAGGGUGGACGGCCACAUUGGAACUGAGACACGGUCCAGACUCCUACGGGAGGCAGCAGCUAAGAAUCUUCCGCAAUGGGCGAAAGCCUGACGGAGCGACGCCGCGUGAACGAAGAAGGCCGUGAGGUUGUAAAGUUCUUUUCGGGAGGGGGAACAACCGUGGCAGGGAAUGGCCGCGGGAUGACGUGAAUCCCGGAAUAAGCCCCGGCUAACUACGUGCCAGCCGCGGC